Molecule: long non-coding RNA, 1685 nt
Organism: Pavo cristatus (Indian peafowl)
Lineage: Eukaryota; Metazoa; Chordata; Aves; Galliformes; Phasianidae
Source: Ensembl
CGGCCGAGCCCCGGGGAGCCUCGGCGGUGCCAGGGCAGCGCGGCGGCUGCGGCGGCGCGGAGGGACCCCUCGGCUGUUGCCCGACGUGCGCAACAUCUUCGCGGCCCCGCGGGAAGCGGCGGAACGCGGCCGCGGUCACCGCUUCGUCCCCCGCGCCCCGCGCCGCGGUUGGUGCGAUCUGUGCGGAGCGGCCGUGCGGGAGCGCGCCCUGCGCUGCGACUGUGAGUGCUGCCGUCCCGCUGCCCCCGCCUGCCGUCCCGCAAUUCUGCCCCGCACCGCAUCCCGCACCCUGCCCUCCUCCCCGCCGACACCGCUCCGUGCCCCCCAUUCCCAGCCCCGGGUCCCCCCGCCGAGCUGUCCCCAUGGGGUGCGGGGCCUUGCGGGGGAUGCGGGAGUUGAGGUUUUUCCGGGGCAGAUGGGAUUAUCGGCUCAUCGGGCAGGAAGGGCUCGUGGUCGUAACGCUUUACGGUGGAGCUAAAUCCUUCCAGAAAUAGCACGUUAGGAACAUCUCCCUUACGUUUGUUGGGCGCCUCGCUCUGCUCCAAACCCAGCAGGAACUCGCUAGGAGGACGCGCAGUGCUCCCGACGGGUGCAUUAACGCUUGGUUCUGCGGGAGGGGUUCACAUUCCCAUCGUGUGUGUGUGUGGGGGGGAGUGAACGGGGUGUCCUCGGGCAGAUGCAGCCCGUGUGCAUCGCUGUGUGGAGGUGGCGUAAGGACUGGGCCACGCUGGCUGGGCAGCCCUGCGUUACAGGCAGCAGAAGUGAGCAACGCAGGUGCCGCAAAUCAGCUGUAAUGCUAAAAAGUCGCACCUGCUGCCUUGUUAUUCCAUACCUGAAUGGGGAAAGGGCCCACAGGCUACGAGGAGUGUCUGGGGAUGUGCCCCUGGUGCUGCUCCUCCUGCCCAAGCAGUGUGCCCAGCAGGAUGUUUUCAGACUGCAGGUACACGUGCCACCAGCAGUGCCGCAGCCUCGUCCAGCUGGACUGCCGCCGGCCUGACCCCGGGCAGCUCUCUCCUGAGGGCACCAUUGUGCUCCCCUGCAGCCAGGUAUGCCCUCGUGGUGGUCAGCCUCUCUCCCAAACUCCAUUCCUUGCUCUUAGCAGGAUGAGAUUUUGUUGCAGAGGUUGGCAUGUGGCCCCAGCUGAAGCUUGCUAAUAAAUUCCCUCUAUCCCUGUGUGUCUUGUGCACAUCAUCUGGUGGGAGGAGGUGGUGUGCGUUGGCCCUUUCCCCUGCCUUUAAAUGUGGAUGCAGGUGUCUGAUGGAUGCAAAGCACUGCAUGGCACAGGAGGAGAAGUGAAGGUGCGCUCUGCCAAGAGGCAGAAGAAAUGCAAGUGUGGGUCUGGCAGUGAGAUCUGGCUUCAUGUCUUUCAGCAACCCUGGGGGGACUGAGGCUCCCCAUUCUGGGUUAGGGAUGUGCACGUACCUCAGGCUGCUCUGAGGGUUUUGGCAUGGAAUGCAUCUAAAUGCAGCACUGUGUGCUUGGUGCUGCUGGGAGAUGCUGCUGGGCUGGGUGGCUUCUCCCUUGAGUUCUCUGAGUAAGGGACUGAGGCCAUGGAUGUGUUUCUUUGCAUCUUCCUCACGUGUCAGUGGGUUUCCCCAUCAGUGUUAGAAAAGUGUGAUUUUUAGUAAAAUUAAAGGCUUGUUUCCUCUUUAGGGUGAUGAAGGCAGUGGGGGGUUAUUGGUGGC